CCUACGGGUGGCUGCAGUGGGGAAUCUUGGACAAUGGGGGCAACCCUGAUCCAGCAAUGCCGCGUGUGGGAUGAAGGCCUUCGGGUUGUAAACCACUUUUGGCGGGGGCGAAAUAUCGAGUGCUAAUACCAUUCGGUGAUGACGGUACCCGCAGAAUAAGCACCGGCUAACUACGUGCCAGCAGCCGCGGUAAUACGUAGGGUGCAAGCGUUAAUCGGAAUUACUGGGCGUAGUUAGGGCGCAGGCGGGUGAAAUGCCCGGGCUCAACCUGGGAACUGCAUUUGUGACUGCCUGACUAGAGUGCGGCAGAGGGGAGUGGAAUUCCGCGUGUAGCAGUGAAAUGCGUAGAGAUGCGGAGGAACACCGAUGGCGAAGGCAACUCCCUGGGCCUGCACUGACGCUCAUGCACGAAAGCGUGGGGAGCAAACAGGAUUAGAUACCCGUGUAGUC
RNAcentral lists this ribosomal RNA (450 nucleotides) under uncultured bacterium. RNAcentral describes it as "partial 16S ribosomal RNA". It matches the Rfam family "Bacterial small subunit ribosomal RNA", at positions 338 to 795 of the family's 1533-position model. The record is from RNAcentral.